This 127-nucleotide small RNA is filed under the name Marmota monax (woodchuck). The record is from RNAcentral. Lineage: Eukaryota; Metazoa; Chordata; Mammalia; Rodentia; Sciuridae.
GCUGGGCAUGGUGGCACAUGCCUGUAAUCUUAGUGGCUCAGGCAGCUGAGGCAGGAGGAUUGCAAGCUCAGAGCUAACCUCAGCAACUUAACAAGGCCCUAAGAAACUAAGCAAGACCCUGUCUCAG